AGGAACAGCCAUCAUGUAAGACA
RNAcentral lists this microRNA (23 nucleotides) under Caenorhabditis briggsae. RNAcentral describes it as "Cbr-Mir-70_5p* (star (passenger))". The record is from RNAcentral. Lineage: Eukaryota; Metazoa; Nematoda; Chromadorea; Rhabditida; Rhabditidae.